UGGGGAAUAUUGCGCAAUGGGCGGAAGCCUGACGCAGCGACGCCGCGUGAGGGAUGACGGCCUUCGGGUUGUAAACCUCUUUCAGCAGGGACGAAUGUAGACGGUACCUGUAGAAGAAGCACCGGCCAACUACGUGCCAGCAGCCGCGGUAAUACGUAGGGUGCGAGCGUUGUCCGGAAUUAUUGGGCGUAAAGAGCUCGUAGGCGGUCUGUCGCGUCGAAUGUGAAAACCCGGGGCUCAACUCCGGGCUUGCAUUCGAUACGGGCAGGCUAGAGUUCGGUAGGGGAGUCUGGAAUUCCUGGUGUAGCGGUGAAAUGCGCAGAUAUCAGGAGGAACACCGGUGGCGAAGGCGGGACUCUGGGCCGAUACUGACGCUGAGGAGCGAAAGCGUGGGGAGCGAACA
RNAcentral lists this ribosomal RNA (403 nucleotides) under uncultured bacterium. RNAcentral's name for it is "partial 16S ribosomal RNA". It matches the Rfam family "Bacterial small subunit ribosomal RNA", at positions 355 to 774 of the family's 1533-position model. The record is from RNAcentral. RNAcentral also lists the same sequence under 2 other names.